RNAcentral lists this ribosomal RNA (381 nucleotides) under uncultured eukaryote. Its description in RNAcentral is "SSU rRNA". It matches the Rfam family "Eukaryotic small subunit ribosomal RNA", at positions 587 to 972 of the family's 1831-position model. The record is from RNAcentral.
AGCUCUGUAAGCGUAUACCCAAGUUGUUGCAGUUAAAACGCUCGUAGUCGGAGUUUGGCGGGUGAGCCGGGGCGUCUUCGCGGACGGACCUGGGUUUGGCCGCCUUUGUGGAGGGGGGCGCGGAUCCGCUUAAGUGCGGGCUCGUUGUCGCUGCCACCGUUUACUGUGAAAAAAUUAGAGUGUUCAAAGCGGGCGUUUGCCAUGAAUACCUUAGCAUGGAAUAAUAGAAUAGGACCUGUGUUUCCUGUUUUAUUGGUUUGUGAGGACCGGGUAAUGAUUAAGAGGGACGGUUGGGGGCAUUUGUAUUCCGGCGUCAGAGGUGAAAUUCUUGGAUUGUCGGAAGACAAACGGCUGCGAAAGCGUCUGCCAAGGACGUUUUCA